AUAAGAACUCUGGGCUCUCUCAGCUUAUGGCACCCAUCCUAUUUCUGAUUCAAAUUGAAAGAUGAUUUUUUUCUUAUUCAAGACUCCUAGGUCUCAUUCCAAAGAUGAAGCAUGCCUGCUACUUUUGAAAAUAUGAGGAAUUCUUUUGAUAGCUGUUUGUACCCAGUUUCUAAGAGCCUGAAGAAAUGACAACACAACUUCACAAAGCCAUGCUUUCAUAAAAACCGUAAUGACAAGUCUCCUUUCCUCCUCCACCUCCAGUUCUUAGACUAAGAUCCAUUAGCCACUCAGAAAUAAAAUACAAAUUGAAUAACUGAGGCUUGAUAGAGUUACAUCACUUGUCCAAAGAGAUAAUGCCAGUGAAUGGAAUAGCCAGAUCGAAUUCCAGAAUCCGUAAAGCUCCACUGCUUCUCUCUGAAUGUAAUAACCCAUCCACAAGCCCUAAGAUAUUAGACACAUCAGUGAUCACUCCAUCUGCUUUUGGCCCAUUGCUGUUGUCAGGAUUUAUGCAUUUAUGUCUGCAAUAAUUAUUUAUUGAGGACCUUCUCUCUUGCAAUUGCAUAUGGCCUUAUAACUGAAUUCUGACUUUAUGUCUCUCUUAGGAUAGACAGAUAAAAAUUUUUCAUAUGUGAUCUUCUUUCUGUCCCCUACCUCUCAGCUAUGAGCCUGAAACAGCAGAUUCAGUAGAACAGAGUUUCUCAGGAAUGGCAGAGCCACAAGUUGGGAGGAGCCCAGCUCUGUCCAACAACCUGGAACAUCCAUCAACCAGGAAAACUGUUGCACUUUAUGUGAUUAAGAAACAUUUUUUAAGGAAAAAAGCAGUAAAUUUUUGGGUUAUAUUUGUUGCAAUAGCUGUGUUACUUUCCUAAUGCACAAUCACAAAUGUAAAAUGCCACACACAGAGUGUGAGGAAAUAUAUUGCUAUUGGACUACUUGUAGUCUAUUUAAUUUUUUUAUAUAGCUAUAGCCAGAUCUGGGGUGAAAUGGUUUAGAAUAAUAAUUUCCAAUAGUAUACAUCAUACCUUUAAAAAGACUUUUAUGGAUGGAUAAAUAUCUAAUUAUGGAACUGCCCUGCAACGUAAGUGGUGAGAGAAACUCUUUAUAUAUGCUUUGUUUUUUUCUGAAUGCAUAGGUUCAGAAUUAUUAAACAAAUCCUCAUCUUUUGACAGCCAGUAAUCAAUUUCUCAUUUGCAGGGAAUCUAAUUGCAUUAGAGGGGACACUGGGGAAGUUAUGGACUACCUCAUCUUUCUACUAUAAAAAAUGAAACUACUUGUCUGUAUUGAAUUUGAUUUUAUAUGUUCAAUGAAAUAUAUCAUAUCCUUAUAAUAAAGUUAUAUAAGUUGC
This 1345-nucleotide long non-coding RNA is filed under the name Homo sapiens (human). Its description in RNAcentral is "HSALNT0309263". The record is from RNAcentral. Lineage: Eukaryota; Metazoa; Chordata; Mammalia; Primates; Hominidae.